This 466-nucleotide ribosomal RNA is filed under the name uncultured bacterium. RNAcentral describes it as "partial 16S ribosomal RNA". It matches the Rfam family "Bacterial small subunit ribosomal RNA", at positions 28 to 507 of the family's 1533-position model. The record is from RNAcentral.
GAUGAACGCUGGCGGCGUGCUUAACACAUGCCAGUCGAACGAUGAAGCCCAGCUUGCUGGGUGGAUUAGUGGCGAACGGGUGAGUAACACGUGAGUAACCUGCCCUUGACUCUGGGAUAAGCCUGUGAAACUGGGUCUAAUACUGGAUAUGACUUCUCAUCGCAUGGUGGGGGGUGGAAAGAUUUAUUGGUCUUGGAUGGACUCGCGGCCUAUCAGCUUGUUGGUGAGGUAAUGGCUCACCAAGGCGACGACGGGUAGCCGGCCUGAGAGGGUGACCGGCCACCCUGGGACUGAGACACGGACCAGACUCCUACGGGUGGCAGCAGUGGGGAAUAUUGCACAAUGGGCGCAAGCCUGAUGCAGCGACGCCGCGUGAGGGAUGACGGCCUUCGGGUUGUAAACCUCUUUCAGUAGGGAAGAAGCGAGAGUGACGGUACCUGCAGAAGAAGCGCCGGCUAACUACGUG